Molecule: long non-coding RNA, 335 nt
Filed under: Capsella grandiflora
Lineage: Eukaryota; Viridiplantae; Streptophyta; Magnoliopsida; Brassicales; Brassicaceae
Description: long non-coding RNA (CGRA_LNC000962)
Source: RNAcentral
CCGGUGGAAGUUCAUCGGCACCCGCAGCAAGUACACCCGCACCAGCAGCUGCACCACCGGCACCCGCAGCAAGUACACCCGCACCCGCAGCGGCACCCGCAGCACCCAAACCCCCGGGGUAAACGGCAUUGGUCGAGCUGUUCCAACUUGUAGCAGAUUUAUAUUGUGUUUAAAUUCAAUAUCCUAUCCAAAAAAACUUUUUAAAAAAUAUAAUAAAAGUGAAAGUCUACAUUUAAAAAAAAAAAAGUUGUAAGAAUCUAUGAAACGUUUUAAUUUUUGUUUUUAUAAAUAAUUCAUGUUGAAUGCAUCUCAACUAAACAACAGAUUAAUUAAGG